UCCCUGGAGGAUUAGUGGUUAGGCCACAGCGCUCUCACUGCUGCGGCCCAGGUUCGAUUCCCGGCCAGGAAA
This 72-nucleotide transfer RNA is filed under the name Pangasianodon gigas (Mekong giant catfish). RNAcentral describes it as "tRNA-Glu". It matches the Rfam family "tRNA". Rfam says of the family: Transfer RNA (tRNA) molecules are approximately 80 nucleotides in length. Lineage: Eukaryota; Metazoa; Chordata; Actinopteri; Siluriformes; Pangasiidae. The record is from RNAcentral.